Molecule: ribosomal RNA, 758 nt
Filed under: uncultured prokaryote
Description: bacterial SSU rRNA
Rfam family: Bacterial small subunit ribosomal RNA
Source: RNAcentral
CGAUUGCGAAGGCAGCUUGCUGGACUGUAACUGACGNUGAGGCACGAAAGCGUGGGGAUCAAACAGGAUUAGAUACCNNGGUAGUCCACGCNNUAAACGAUGANUGCUAGCUGUUAGCGAUAUACUGUUAGCGGCACAGAGAAAUCGUUAAGCAUUCCACCUGGGGAGUACGCCGGCAACGGUGAAACUCAAAGGAAUUGACGGGGGCCCGCACAAGCGGAGGAACAUGUGGUUUAAUUCGAUGAUACGCGAGGAACCUUACCUGGGCUUAAAUUGCAGUGGAAUAACGUGGAAACAUGUUAGCCUUCGGGCCGCUGUGAAGGUGCUGCAUGGUUGUCGUCAGCUCGUGCCGUGAGGUGUCGGCUUAAGUGCCAUAACGAGCGCAACCCUCAUCGAUAGUUACUAACAGGUUAAGCUGAGGACUCUAUCGAGACUGCCGACGUAAGUCGUGAGGAAGGUGGGGAUGACGUCAAAUCAGCACGGCCCUUACGUCCAGGGCUACACACGUGUUACAAUGGGGGGUACAAAGGGCAGCUACCUGGCGACAGGAUGCUAAUCUCAAAAACCUCUCUCAGUUCGGAUUGGAGUCUGCAACCCGACUCCAUGAAGCUGGAUUCGCUAGUAAUCGCGCAUCAGCCACGGCGCGGUGAAUACGUUCCCGGGCCUUGUACACACCGCCCGUCAAGCCAUGGGAGCCGGGGGGACCUGAAGUAUGCAACCGUAAGGAGCGUCCUAGGGUAAAACUGGUGACUGGGGCU